This 393-nucleotide transfer-messenger RNA is filed under the name Thiopseudomonas alkaliphila. It matches the Rfam family "transfer-messenger RNA". Rfam says of the family: Bacterial tmRNA, also known as 10Sa RNA or SsrA, is named for its dual tRNA and mRNA-like properties. Its role is to liberate the mRNA from a stalled ribosome. Lineage: Bacteria; Pseudomonadati; Pseudomonadota; Gammaproteobacteria; Pseudomonadales; Pseudomonadaceae. The record is from RNAcentral.
GGGGCCGAUUAGGAUUCGACGCCGGAUACAAAACUUGAGGGGCAUGCCGAGUUGGUAACAGAACUCGUAAAUCCACUGUUGUAACUUUUAUAGUUGCCAAUGACGAAACUUAUGGGGAAUACGCUCUCGCUGCGUAAGCGGCCUUAGCCCUUCCCUUCUGGAUGCUUCGGCGCCAGCAAUCAUUAGAGGAUGUCUGUAAACUCGAAGUGAUUGUCAGAUAGAACAGAAUCGCUGUGCGGUAUGUUGUGGACCAAGCAGCUAAAUAUUACACAACUCGCCCAAAGCACCCUGCCCGUCGGGUCGCCUAGGGUUAACUUAAUAGACAAGGCUAAGCAUGUAGAACCGAUAGCAGAGUGCUGGCGGACGGGGGUUCAAAUCCCCCCGGCUCCACCA